Molecule: ribosomal RNA, 336 nt
Filed under: Chonocephalus heymonsi
Lineage: Eukaryota; Metazoa; Arthropoda; Insecta; Diptera; Phoridae
Description: partial 12S ribosomal RNA
Source: RNAcentral
AAAGUAUUUGUUUUUCUUAGGUAUUAAUAGAUUUGUUCUUUAAACUUAAAAAAUUUGGCAGUAUUUUAGUCUUUUUAGAGGAAUUUGUAAAUUAAUUGAUAAUCCACAAUGUAUCUUUCUUAAUUUAUUAGUUUAUAUAUCGUUGUUUUUAAAAAUUUUUUAAAAAUAAUAAUUUUUAAUUUUUUUUAUAUAAAUAGAAAUCAAAUCAAGGUGUAGCGUAUAAUUAAGUUUUUAUGAAUUACAAUAAAAUUAUUUAUAUGAAUAAUAAUUUGAAAAAAGAUUUGAAGGUGGAUUUAAUAGUAAAAUUUUAUAGAUUAAAUUUUUGAUUUUAGCUCU